GUACUUUGGCAGCACAUAUACUGAAGUUGGAACAAUGUACAGAAGAGUAGUGUGGCCCCUGCACGAGGAUGACACAGAAAUUUGUGAAGCCUUCUAUAUCUAA
This is a small nuclear RNA of Nycticebus coucang (slow loris), 103 nucleotides long. The record is from RefSeq and is a predicted model, not a curated record. Lineage: Eukaryota; Metazoa; Chordata; Mammalia; Primates; Lorisidae.